AGUGAACGCUGGCGGUAGGCCUAACACAUGCAAGUCGAACGGCAGCACAGGAGAGCUUGCUCUCUGGGUGGCGAGUGGCGGACGGGUGAGGAAUACAUCGGAAUCUACUUUUUCGUGGGGGAUAACGUAGGGAAACUUACGCUAAUACCGCAUACGACCUACGGGUGAAAGCAGGGGCUCUUCGGACCUUGCGCGAUUGAAUGAGCCGAUGUCGGAUUAGCUAGUUGGCGGGGUAAAGGCCCACCAAGGCGACGAUCCGUAGCUGGUCUGGGAGGAUGAUCAGCAACACUGGAACUGAGACACGGUCCAGACUCCUACGGGAGGCAGCAGUGGGGAAUAUUGGACAAUGGGCGCAAGCCUGAUCCAGCCAUACCGCGUGGGUGAAGAAGGCCCUCGGGUUGUAAAGCCCUUUUGUUGGGAAAGAAAUCCAGCUGGUUAAUACCCGGUUGGGAUGACGGUACCCAAAGAAUAAGCACCGGCUAACUUCGUGCCAGCAGCCGCCGCAG
RNAcentral lists this ribosomal RNA (506 nucleotides) under uncultured bacterium. Its description in RNAcentral is "partial 16S ribosomal RNA". It matches the Rfam family "Bacterial small subunit ribosomal RNA", at positions 29 to 523 of the family's 1533-position model. The record is from RNAcentral.